This is a long non-coding RNA of Cucumis sativus (cucumber), 1478 nucleotides long. RefSeq lists it as uncharacterized. The transcript has 2 exons. The record is from RefSeq and is a predicted model, not a curated record. NCBI's taxonomy places the organism in Eukaryota, Viridiplantae, Streptophyta, Magnoliopsida, Cucurbitales, Cucurbitaceae.
CCUUCCUUUCAAUUCUCUCUCAUUUUCACAACAACUUCCCUUCAUCUCAAUUCUCUGUCAUUUUCCCUCUUUCUGUACAAUUUUUUUUAGAAUUUAUUUCUCUAUUAUCUUUGAGUUCCCGAGCUUAGCAAGUAUUUAUCUUGAGUGUUGUUAUUCAGUGGGUUCAAGUGUUAUUUUAACUGACGAAAAAGAUUGUUUUAUCCUACGGACGAUGGGGUUGUAACAACUGCUAGUACCUAGAGUAGAGCCGUGAAACGUCUUAAAGAAAGUGAGUUUCGUGACUCAGCCCAACAAUUAAUGAGUUUUUGUUUUUUAGGUUUUGUCAUUCUAACGAAGCCUUCUAGCAAAGCGACAUCAACAAUUUAAGACGUCCAUGUUUGCUACCAUGGUCGGUCUAUUCCAAGCUGACAUGCUAACCUCGGAUUUGAACUCACCAUUUCGCUUCGUAGGAGCCCACUUCAAAUGUUGGAAGCAGAAGAUGUUGUUUUUCUUAACCCUGAAGAAGGUUGCCACUACCUGCACUACCGAAAAGCCAAAAGUUCCAAAGACCGAUCCAACCGAGAAGCGACUUCAGGCUCACAACACAUGGUGCUAUGUCUACGGUGAAGGAAGAUUGGAAUGGACUGCAAAAAAUGUACGACACUGAAGAAGUUGGAUUCAAGAAGUAUGCGGUAAGUCGAUACAUGUGGUAUCAGAUGGUUGACGAUAGAUAAGUAGAAGUUCAAUCACACGAACUACAGAAGAUUAUCCACAAAAUAAUUAGUGAAGGCAUGCCUUUAGAUGAGCAAUUGCAGGUUGCUGUUACUAUUGACAAGCUACCUUCAUUGUAGAAGGACUUUAAAAAUACCCUAAUGCAUAAGAUGAAGGAGUUCUCUCUGAAGAGUCUAAUCACCCGACUGAAAAUUGAGGAGGAGGCCCACAAGCAUGAUCAAAAGGAGGAAGAGGUGAACGUGAUCCUAAAAAAGAAGUCCAUUGUCAUUCUGAAACUAGACCUGAAGUCUAAGGGGAAUAAGAUAAAGGUUCAGAACCAUGGGCCCAACAACUAGAAGAAUCAAUAAUAACCUCAGUCCAGAAGUACGGUACCAAUUGUGCGUUUCAAUUGUAAUCAACCUGGGCAUCUAGUUAGGAACUGUAGGAACGAGAAUCAUCCUACUACGCAGGCAAACUUGGUAAAAGAAGACUUAGUAGCUAUGAUCAAAGAAAUAAAUGUGAUAAGAAGGUCUAAAGGUUCAAUUGUAAUCAACAUGGGCAUCUAGCUAGGAACUGUAGUAACAGGAAUCAUCCUACUGCGCAGGCAAACCUCGUAAAAGAAAACUUAGUAGCUAUGAUCAUAGAAAUAAAUGUGAUCAGAAGGUCUAAAGGUUAUUGGCUAGACCCUGGUGCUUCAUGCCAUGUCUUCCAUGAACUUAGUUUAUUUAAAAAAAUAUAACAAAACUAAAGACAAUAAUAUUCUUCUUGGGGAUCACCACGCAACCAAA